CUCGCCAAAAUAUUCACCGUCGCCCAAAAGAGCAAUCCGCAAAUCCUCGCCGUGAGAGCCCUUGCUGAUGACCUCAGCCUGUCCGCUGGCUACAAUGAAGAAACGUUGCUUAUCCUUGCCUUCCUCCACGAAGAAUUUAUCGACAUCGACCUCCUUGGCCUCGAACGAACUGACCAGACGGUUCAGUAUCUCGUCGUCGAACUCAGAGAAGAGAGGAAUAGCCUUGAGGUUCUUCGCUGUAAACGAUGGUACACCGUUCACAUACUGGAUGGGCAGUCGGUCGUUUUUGCGUAACUCGACCUUCGUGCGGUUCACACGGAACGUGCCGCCACUGACCUGCACCCAAGGCAGGAGUUUCAGUAACAGUCUCGGGGUUAUCGAGCCCAUCUGUGGGGCGGUCUUGGUGGUGGUUGCCAGUCUUCUGGCUGUUGCUGUAGUUACAC
Molecule: non-coding RNA, 443 nt
Filed under: uncultured Prevotella sp.
Lineage: Bacteria; Pseudomonadati; Bacteroidota; Bacteroidia; Bacteroidales; Prevotellaceae
Source: RNAcentral